CUUGCGAAUAGGAAUUUUAUGUGCAAUCUCAUACCCACCGGGGUACGAGGUUGUUUUAUGUCUGCCCGUCUUGUUAUUAGAGAGUUUGAGCAAGACAACGAAGUCGAAGGCGUACUUGACAAUUUUUGCCGUCUGCGCAUUAUCUUGCGCAUACUGAGUUGGACGUCACUGGUGGUUGCUCAGCGUAUCUUCCCAUGUGUCGCUGUUUAUGAAUGCUGACCCUAAUUCAUGCCCUGACCCAGAAAAAAACAGCGACACAUGAAACUAUAUCCCGUCUUUGUCCUUCUGGCUUCUGCCUUCGUUCGGAACGAAGUUCACAACGAAAUUUUGCCAAAAUAUUCGUUGUGAACGAAGGCAGAAGUAAGACGGGAUAUGGAUUCAUGUCUCGCUGUUUUGUCCUGAUCAGGGUAACGAUUUGGGUCCGCAUUCAUAAACAGCUAGACAUGAAUCUCUAAUCUGUCUUCACCCCUCGUCGUCGUCGUCCGACUUCGUUCUCUUGCUCAAUUAAACUCUCUAAUCGAUAAGGAUUUAAAGGAAAUAGGAUUGGAACUGUCAAUUUGUGUUUUUAAUUAUAAUUAGUCGAACCACGUUUCAUAUGAGUCACGUUACACGUUAUAGUUUCGCGUGAUAUUACAAGUUUUGGUUAUUAUACGAUUACAUUUGAGUUUGUGAUCUAUUUAUAUCGUUGCCGCUGGCAAAUUGGUAAUCUGAACGAUCUUUUUCUACGACCGUUACCACAAUAUCGGUCUCAAAUUGUGCUCACUCGUGAGCUUCAUACCAUUUUGGUUUCGCUGUGCAUGUCAAUGAGUGUUGGAGCUUACAGUGGGUUUACACAGAAUACAAGUAAUUUCGACUAUUUUGUACACACGUUUACGCACUCCCAAAACAGUAAUAUACUACACUAGGAGGAAAUAUAUAUUGAAAAACUAGAUAAUAUUUAUAGUUAUUUAAGACUUCAUAAUCACUGUGUGACGCACAGCCGGCACAGGGGCGUAGGAAGCAUCAAAAGAUUGGGGAGGGGGCAGGGCUUCCAGGGGCACUUUUGGAUAUUGAGAAGGGCACCUAAAAAAUUCUUCCCGGAAAUAUUGGCGGGGGGGUGUGCUCUUCCCGUCAUACCAUACCGAAAUUGAACGUUUUUGACCAAAUUUUUUAUGCCGAAACAUCGAAAUUUCCAAACAAAAAGGGCAC
Molecule: non-coding RNA, 1188 nt
Organism: Paramuricea clavata
Lineage: Eukaryota; Metazoa; Cnidaria; Anthozoa; Malacalcyonacea; Plexauridae
Source: the annotation of a GenBank genome assembly